AUAUCAUAAAAAGUUAUUUCGUAACCCCUUUCUACAAAAUUCAUGAUUCCGGGUCAAGUUUAGGUACAAUUUUCUACUAAGAAUAAAGUAAUUUAAUAUUGAUUUAUUUUUUGUAAAUAGGCAAACAUAGUCAAGAUUAAAUGUGAGGAAAAAAAAUACAGUAUUGUGCUAUGAAUAAGGUUAGAAAAAAUAAAAACAAAACCAAUUUUUUUCACAUAUUUUGCUACUAACGAUGAGUCUUAACAGCUUGAAAUAGGGGUUAUUUUAUUUGUAUUCCUUCCGACCCACGAUUGUGCGAAAGCCUCAUUCUGAGUCAGUCUGCGCUCGGCCGCCGUCGUGAGAGGACACUGUAUCGCUCGUUUCCAGCUGCUCGUGUUGAAAAAGAUCGCUGUAUAAAUACAAAAUAUUCGACUAACCAAAUUUGAUCCUUCUAAGAUGCCGAGAAGUCGAACGUUUGGCAAAAGCUCUCGUAAACAAGUGCUUUCCAGAAAAAAUGCAUUGGAAAAUAUAAGACGACUUCGAGAAGUGAGUCGCAAUUCUAGUGACAUAAGUGAGGUGCAUUCAGAAGAAACAGAUUGUAGUACUUCCAAUAACAAUGACUUGGAGACAUCUUACACCGCUGUGGAUGAAGAAAAAGUAACCUAUCAGAUUUCAGGAAGAAGGCUUAUUGAAAUGGCUUAUUUUAUGGAGCAAUUACAAGGAAUCAGCAAUCAUAAGUCUAUGUUUAAUUGUAAUUUGAGUACAAUUGAACUAUUGAGUGAAAAAAGGUCUGGGCUUCACUCGACCUUUUCAAUUAAAUGCAAAAUGUGUGGUGCUGAAUUCACGUUAGAAUCAUCCAAAAAAACUGAAAAUAAAAUGGACGUGAAUGAAGAAAUUGUCGCUGGUAUAAUGACGAUUGGUGCUGGGGUUACACAGCUUAAUACUGUUUUGUGUCAUGUAAAUAUGCCACCAAUGUCAGUACGAUUGUACCAAGCUAAGCAUGACAUAAUAAGUCGGUGGUGGAAAAAGGCUGCGCAGCACUACAUGAUCGAGGCGGGUAAAGAGGAGAAAGACAAUGCUUUAGCUAUUGGAAGUGUAAAUACAGAUGGGUUAGCUAUGAUACCUGUAUCGGGUGAUGCAUGUUGGUCCAAGCGCUCUUAUGGAACCAAUUACAGUGCUUCCUCCGGUGUUGGUGCAAUCGUAGGCAUGCACUCAAAAAAAGUAU
This is a long non-coding RNA of Helicoverpa armigera (cotton bollworm), 1204 nucleotides long. RefSeq lists it as uncharacterized. The record is from RefSeq and is a predicted model, not a curated record. The transcript has 4 exons. Lineage: Eukaryota; Metazoa; Arthropoda; Insecta; Lepidoptera; Noctuidae.